This 1362-nucleotide long non-coding RNA is filed under the name Arabidopsis thaliana (thale cress). RNAcentral describes it as "long non-coding RNA (ATHA_LNC000318)". The record is from RNAcentral. Lineage: Eukaryota; Viridiplantae; Streptophyta; Magnoliopsida; Brassicales; Brassicaceae.
AAACUUUGAAUCCAAAAAACAGGAGUCUAUAAAUAUAGAGAGUCUCAAGCCUUCUCUUCUCUCUAUCUGUAAUCGUUUUAGUUUCAUUAAACAAACCCUUGAGAAAUACACACAGAGAGAAUUAUAGAGUGGGAGAGAUGAAAUUACAUACGCAAUUGCUCUGAUUUGUUUCUCCAUUCUCUUCUUCGAUUCCUGCUUCGAUUGCUUCUAUUUCAUCUCUAAUGAUGCUCUGGUUCUUCUCCUUCCUUUGUCUCUCGAUCAUGGCGUAACGAUAACUUCUCUCAGUCUCCGUCGUCGGAAGUUUUUGUACUUUUGUUUGACUUCAAAGGACGUCGGAUUUUGUUUACUCUGUCUUUGGUUCAUCGGAAGCUUUUGCGUUUCUCAGUCACGGACACGCUUUGGUUCAUUGGAUGAUCGGAUUAUCGGAAGCUUUUGCUUUUCUCAGUCACGGACACGGUGGUGGGGAAAAAGGCCUUGGAUUGCGAAAGGAUUUUCAGCCCAUGAAUUAUUUGAGGUAUAUUUUUCUGUCCCAUCAUAUUUAAUGUUUUUUGUUUCCUUUGUUUUUUUUUUUUUUUUUUUAAUUUUAUUGUUUUGAUACUAAAUUUAUAUUACGAUAUAUGAAAACUAACCGGAUUUUGGAUCCAGCAUUAGUUGUUAGAGAUUCCAAAUAUUCAACUUGUAUUUUGUAACAUCGUUAUGUAAAUUGUUUGUAUCCAAGUUUUUAAUUCUAACUUUUCAAAUAGCUUUUAAAUUUUUUACUUUUUCUAUUCGAAUUUUUAAAAGUUUUUUGUAUUUUCUUAUUUUAAUUUUAAUGUUUUGAUACUAAAUCUACCUAAUGCUAUAUGAAACUAACCGGAUUUUGGAUCCUGCAUUAGUCGUUAGUGAUUCCAAAUAUUCAAUUUGUUUUCAUAUCAUGGUUACGUUGAUUUUAGUAUCCAAAUUUUUUAAAACAGUUUUAAUUUUUUUAUAUCUUUUCUAUUCCGAUAUUUAAAGUUUUUUAGUGUUUUUUCAUAAUUUAAAUGUUUUGAUACUAAACUAACCGGAUUUUGGAGAUUCUAAAUAUUCCAACUUGUUUUCAUAUCAUCAUAGUUAUGUAGAUUUAGUAUGCAAGUUUCACAUGAGAUUCCCGGAAAAGUGCAGCUGAAGUAUUGUACAUCAUCCACCAAACUUUGAUAUUGUUGAAUCGGCCACCAUGGGACUAUUCUGGCGGCAACCUUAAGACUUGGUGUUGAUUGGAGUAAAUCAAGAAUCGCCUUCUCUUUGUGAAUGAAUUACAAUUCGAGAGCAGAAAAUAGAAGCCAAAGGGGUGAAAAAUUGAAGUCUACUAAUUUUGGUUAUAUAUACAAAACUAGAAGGAAAACG